Molecule: long non-coding RNA, 494 nt
Filed under: Piliocolobus tephrosceles (Ugandan red Colobus)
Lineage: Eukaryota; Metazoa; Chordata; Mammalia; Primates; Cercopithecidae
Description: lncRNA (ENSPTEG00000013114.1)
Source: RNAcentral
GAAAAAGGCAGGAGGAGAAAACUGGAAGAAGAAUAGAGGAGGAUGAGAAUGUCCCCAUGCCAUGAAAUCUCCCGUCUCUUUCUCUUCUGCUCUAAUGAGCAUAGCAAGGAAUGAAAACUAGUGAAGUUGUAAUGAGGGUUGACUUGAAUGCAGUUCAUCACAAUGUGGAGAUUGAGGCCUCCUUCUCUGAACCAUUUAACCCUCAGCCUGGCAAGUGACUGUUCAUUUAGCCUCUCGGUAAGUAGGAUGUAUUUGUUCAGGAAAUAUGAACCUUUAAGGCAAAACAGCUUUUUUGGCCUAUAAAAUUGAAUGAUCCCCAAACGCACCAAGCAGCUUCUUUUUAUGAGUGAGCUUCCUUCCUUCUCAGGCUCAUCAAACUUAAAUUGCUAAUUAAUGAAGAUUAUUUAUCAACGAUUCCAGUAAGAAAUGUUAGGAAGGGGAAUCUAAUAGAGAACGCCAAUAAAAUACAUCAAACUCCGAAACUUUCUAGGACU